CCCGUCAGAUGAACGCUGGCGGCAGGCUUAACACAUGCAAGUCGAGCGGAGAGAGGUAGCUUGCUACUGAUCUUAGCGGCGGACGGGUGAGUAAUGCUUAGGAAUCUGCCUAUUAGUGGGGGACAACAUUUCGAAAGGAAUGCUAAUACCGCAUACGUCCUACGGGAGAAAGCAGGGGAUCUUCGGACCUUGCGCUAAUAGAUGAGCCUAAGUCGGAUUAGCUAGUUGGUGGGGUAAAGGCCUACCAAGGCGACGAUCUGUAGCGGGUCUGAGAGGAUGAUCCGCCACACUGGGACUGAGACACGGCCCAGACUCCUACGGGAGGCAGCAGUGGGGAAUAUUGGACAAUGGGCGCAAGCCUGAUCCAGCCAUGCCGCGUGUGUGAAGAAGGCCUUAUGGUUGUAAAGCACUUUAAGCGAGGAGGAGGCUACUUUAGUUAAUACCUAGAGAUAGUGGACGUUACUCGCAGAAUAAGCACCGGCUAACUCUGUGCCAGCAGCCGCGGUAAUACAGAGGGUGCAAGCGUUAAUCGGAUUUACUGGGCGUAAAGCGCGCGUAGGCGGCUAAUUAAGUCAAAUGUGAAAUCCCCGAGCUUAACUUGGGAAUUGCAUUCGAUACUGGUUAGCUAGAGUGUGGGAGAGGAUGGUAGAAUUCCAGGUGUAGCGGUGAAAUGCGUAGAGAUCUGGAGGAAUACCGAUGGCGAAGGCAGCCAUCUGGCCUAACACUGACGCUGAGGUGCGAAAGCAUGGGGAGCAAACAGGAUUAGAUACCCUGGUAGUCCAUGCCGUAAACGAUGUCUACUAGCCGUUGGGGCCUUUGAGGCUUUAGUGGCGCAGCUAACGCGAUAAGUAGACCGCCUGGGGAGUACGGUCGCAAGACUAAAACUCAAAUGAAUUGACGGGGGCCCGCACAAGCGGUGGAGCAUGUGGUUUAAUUCGAUGCAACGCGAAGAACCUUACCUGGCCUUGACAUAGUAAGAACUUUCCAGAGAUGGAUUGGUGCCUUCGGGAACUUACAUACAGGUGCUGCAUGGCUGUCGUCAGCUCGUGUCGUGAGAUGUUGGGUUAAGUCCCGCAACGAGCGCAACCCUUUUCCUUAUUUGCCAGCGAGUAAUGUCGGGAACUUUAAGGAUACUGCCAGUGACAAACUGGAGGAAGGCGGGGACGACGUCAAGUCAUCAUGGCCCUUACGGCCAGGGCUACACACGUGCUACAAUGGUCGGUACAAAGGGUUGCUACCUAGCGAUAGGAUGCUAAUCUCAAAAAGCCGAUCGUAGUCCGGAUUGGAGUCUGCAACUCGACUCCAUGAAGUCGGAAUCGCUAGUAAUCGCGGAUCAGAAUGCCGCGGUGAAUACGUUCCCGGGCCUUGUACACACCGCCCGUCACACCAUGGGAGUUUGUUGCACCAGAAGUAGCUAGCCUAACUGCAAAGAGGGCGGUUACCACGGUGUGGCCGAUGACUGGGGUGAGUCGUACAGGGGGGUUCCCCUUAAAA
Molecule: ribosomal RNA, 1494 nt
Filed under: Acinetobacter pittii
Lineage: Bacteria; Pseudomonadati; Pseudomonadota; Gammaproteobacteria; Moraxellales; Moraxellaceae
Description: bacterial SSU rRNA
Rfam family: Bacterial small subunit ribosomal RNA
Source: RNAcentral